This 251-nucleotide ribosomal RNA is filed under the name uncultured prokaryote. RNAcentral's name for it is "partial 16S ribosomal RNA". It matches the Rfam family "Bacterial small subunit ribosomal RNA", at positions 525 to 775 of the family's 1533-position model. The record is from RNAcentral.
ACAGAGGCGGCAAGCGUUGUUCGGAAUUAUUGGGCGUAAAGAGCACGUAGGCGGCCUUGCAAGUCUGUUGUGAAAGCCUUCCGCUUAACGGAAGAACGGCAUCUGAUACUACAGGGCUUGAGUACGGGAGGGGAGAGUGGAACUUCUGGUGGAGCGGUGAAAUGCGUAGAUAUCAGAAGGAACAUCGGCGGCGAAAGCGACUCUCUGGCCCGUAACUGACGCUAAGACGCGACAGCACGGGGAGCGAACGG